RNAcentral lists this long non-coding RNA (1816 nucleotides) under Macaca fascicularis (crab-eating macaque). RNAcentral's name for it is "lncRNA (ENSMFAG00000064180.1)". Lineage: Eukaryota; Metazoa; Chordata; Mammalia; Primates; Cercopithecidae. The record is from RNAcentral.
GUCAUUGCUGAGGUAUGAGCAGGCCGUUUGCCCCUCACAGUGUAAACAUAGCCACCAGAAAGUUCAGACUGAACUGAGCCCACCACAGCUCCACAAAGCCACUGUAACCAGACUGCCUCUCUAGAUUCCUCCUCUCUGGGCAGGGCUUCUCCGAAAGAGAGGCAGAAGUCCCAGUCAGGGGCUUACAGAUAAAGCUCCCAUCUCCCAUGGACAGAGCACCCAGGGGAAGGGGCAGCUGUAGGUGUAGCUUCAGCAGACUUAAAAGUUCCUGCCUGCGGGCUCUGAAGAGAGCAGCAGAUCUCCCAGCAUAGUGCUCGAGCUCUGCUAAGAGACAGACCGCCUCCUCAAGUGGGUCCUUGAACACUAUGCCUCCUAACAGGGAGACACCUCCCAGCAGGGGUGGACGGACACCUCAUACAGGAGAGCUCCAGCUGGCAUCUGGUGGGUGCCCCUCUGGGAUGAAGCUUCCAGAGGAAGGAGCAGACAGCAAUCUUUGCUGUUCUUCAGCCUCCACUGGUGAUACCCAGGCAAACAGGGUCUGGAAUGGAACUCCAGCAAACUCCAGUUUGAAAUUUAUAAAAUAAUUGAAGGAUAUCUUCCCUGGAUAUUUAGGGAAGAGAGCAGUCAUUGCUCUUGUUUAGCUUGGAUUUCUCCUGUUUCAGUGCUAUUCAAGUUCUACUGUACCUCCAUCAAGUCUCUUUUGAAGUGUCAUUUUCUUGCAACCUCUGCCUAUGGAUUUAAAUUGAAGGGUUUAAAUGUACUUUGUAAGUUUAUUCUAUUGGUUAUGUUCCACACAAUAUCCUAUACUAAGUCAUUGCCUGGGAAUGUUUUCUUAUUUGAUUCACUCUCUUUGCUGGAUACAAAUAGUAUUAAUAAAUUAAGCAUCUUGUACACUUUAUGAUCAAUGUUUUACCCACUUUGCAUUCUUCUUGGUAUUCACUGAAGAAAAGAGUUGUGUUCCAUUUCUUUUAGGUCUCAGUUGAAAAUGGAUUUUUCUAUUUAAAAGUAAAUAUACAACCAAAUCUUCCUGAAUUGUCAUCUAGAUGUGCUUCCAGUAGUGUUUUUCUAUGCUUACUUUCUAUCCAUGUGACAUGGGUUGCAUGUACAUCUGUGCUAAUUAAAUGUAUAAUUAUCGUUAAUCAAGUUCUCGAUGUACAGUAUAUAAGAGAAAUUAGGAUAUUUAUCCUGUGAAAUAGCUGUGGUGUCAUAUGUUUUAUUUGUAAAAUACUGUGGUAUUUCAAGAAAAUCUUCAAAAUCAAUUAAAUCUGUUGUUUGUAGUGGUUUUGUCUUCACUAGUUGUGCCAUCAGGUUAUCCAACCUGAUUUUUUUCUCUCUUCCAUCCAUUCCUUUCCCCACCCAGAAACAGAUGACACUCUAAGUAAUGAGUACCUGAUGUGGAGGAUCUGAAAUUUGCAAGCUAGGAAAUCAGAAAUUAUUUUUUCUAGUUGAUAGUAAUGGUUGUUGACUUUUCUUUUUAAACUUGUGCUUUACAUUCUAUGGAUCUCAAUAUUUGGUUAACUUUUUGAACUAAGUCUUACUGCUACUUUCUUUGCUAUGCUGUCAGACUUACGGUUAUCAUGUGUAAGGUCAGGGGAGAUGUGUGUCAGGAGAGGGAAAGCAAUGAUUCCACUCUGAUAAAACAGCAGUUAUGGGAAAACUACAAAAAGGGAAAUAGAAAAUAGCUACUUACAAUUUCCAUCUCUGCUGUUCAACCAAGCAGACCGAAGGUAAGUGCUGGCUGUGAAAGCAGCUUCUAGCUAUCUUACUUUGAGCCACCAAGAGAGAAUCAUCCUUUAAAAAAAAAAAAAAAAAAAAA